AUGGGGGCGCGGUGGAUCCUGCCAAGGGCCGGCGGGAGGGCUCCGUUGUUAGUCGUUCCUUCAAGAUUUGUUAGGGUUUGUGUCCUACUCAGGAAGACAAGACGGCGGUGGCUCCCUGAAGAUGAAAUAAAGGUCUCCCCGCCUAGUCCCCGUUCCGGUGGUGCGUCUAGCAUCGUUGGUGGGUGUGUGGAGGUGUGUUCCCGGCGGAUCUAUCCUCGGUGGAUUUGCUCGGAUCUGGUUGUGGUUCGUCUAUGUUCGUGUGUCUUCAGGUUGGAUCCUUUCGAUCUAAGUUAUUCUUCAUCAGCAACGGUUGCUGUUCUGGUGUGCUGA
Molecule: ribosomal RNA, 330 nt
Filed under: Triticum aestivum (bread wheat)
Lineage: Eukaryota; Viridiplantae; Streptophyta; Magnoliopsida; Poales; Poaceae
Description: partial small subunit ribosomal RNA
Source: RNAcentral